GACUAACGCUGGCGGCGUGCCUAACACAUGCAAGUCGAACGGGUAGCAAUACCCAGUGGCAGACGGGUGAGUAACGCGUAGAUAAUGUGCCCUCUUGCGGGGGAGUACCGUUUCGAAAGGAACGUUAAUACCGCAUAAGACCUUCGAAGGGCGAUCCUUUGUAAGGGACGAAACCUAGAUUCAGGGGACGAGAGGAGCAAUCUGCGUACUAUCAGCUAGUUGGU
RNAcentral lists this ribosomal RNA (224 nucleotides) under uncultured bacterium. RNAcentral's name for it is "partial 16S ribosomal RNA". It matches the Rfam family "Bacterial small subunit ribosomal RNA", at positions 28 to 253 of the family's 1533-position model. The record is from RNAcentral.